This 1709-nucleotide long non-coding RNA is filed under the name Anas platyrhynchos platyrhynchos (common mallard). RNAcentral describes it as "lncRNA (ENSAPLG00000024595.1)". The record is from RNAcentral. Lineage: Eukaryota; Metazoa; Chordata; Aves; Anseriformes; Anatidae.
CAAAAAGGUGCCUUGGUUCCAGGAUCGCUGCAACAAUUUCUAGGGUCAGCAAACAUCAUCUCCUGCUAGGGAGGGUCCGGGGGCGAGAACAGUACUGGCCUCAGAAACUAGAGGCUGCUGUUGGGUCUCGAAUCUCCUCCUCCCCAAACAGCUGCAAUCUCCGAUAGGGUAAAGGAUAUUUAAAUCUCUUUGUGCUUUGCAGAGCUUGGGUUGUCCUGGUGGCUUCUUGGGUCCAAACCCACCUCGCUGUCCUUGGGAGACCUUUGGGAAAUGCAGCCUCAGGCUCGGCACUGCUGGGGGAGGCUCAAAAUGUGGCUCGUGCAUGCAGGCUCCAAAGUUGUUGGUCUUUUUCUUGGCACGGGAACGUGGAAUUUUUUCUUUUUUAAUCAGCUUUGUGGGAGUGCUAGUUUUUUUUUUUUUUUUUUUUAAGAAGCUGUUGCAAGUAGCUGGACUUAAUCUCUGUGAAGAAUAUUAUUCUCCGGGACAAUACCGAGCCGUAGGAGAGGGCUCCGCGAUUCGGUCUGGGAGCUCUGCGGCACGAGCUGCCGAUGAUUUCCAUGGCUUGAUUAACGCUCUCCAGAGCCAUUUCCAUCGGCGGCUGCGGAGGAGCCGAAGAAGAUGGAUGAUUCCCAUUACCUGGUGUAAGGACUGCGAGGCAGCCUCAGGAAACCUUUACACCCAAAGUUUACAAGAAGAACGCAAACAGUGAUCAAUAGCGAGCUGGGGCUCCGGCACCCAGAUCUGUGGGGCCAUGAGGUUGGGGCUGGGAGCUGUGGAGCAGGGGAAGGACGGAGGAGGAGCGAUGUCUUGGGUGUGAGGUGGGGUAUGGACAGAGGAGAGGAGAGUGUCAGGGGUUUUUGUUGCUCCCACAACAUGUGCCUGCUUUGUUCAGCUCUCCAGUGCGACAUCAAUGGCUUUUCUGUUCCUUCAGGGGGAAAAAAGCCGUGCAUCUCCUGCUGCUGAGCUGCCUGCACAUCUCUGUUCAGCUGCAGUGCCCUGAAGGAGGAAGGAAGGAGCACGAAAUCCCUGGGUCAGUGCAAAAAUUCCUCCCAGGAGAAUCAAGGUGGGUCUAGACUGAGAAUGAACCACAUAACCCAGCUCCCUGCUGCCCACCCUGCCUAUGGGGAGCAUGGCCCAAAGCCAGCUCUGCCCCAGGGUGCUGGGGCUUGGUGAGCCACUGCGUCGGUCCCCUCUGGGAGCGUGCCCACCAAGCGAAAAAUGCGUGCGGCACAGCCAGGGUUCAUCAGCUGCCCUGCUGGUUGAUGGGCAGCACUCCACAGAAAGUGAUCGUACACCAAGGAUGAUCUCUGCAUGCAUGGCCGCAAGGUGAUGCUGGCAACUGGCUUUGUGGACGUGGACUUCCUUACACUGAGAAGUGAAAAGUGUGUUCCCUGUGGAGGAGAGGUUAGUCUGUAAUUUUCGGCUGAGCGAGCAGGGCUGGCAGGGUGUCCACAAGACAGCAGAUACCCUAGCUUUUGCUGGCUGCAGAGGAUGGCUCCUUCAGGCUCCCAUCUUCUCCUUUGCAGCUGGUGGCUCCCACCUGCAGGAGGUGCAGCACUGGGAAGGCAGAGAUGCCGUGGUGUUAGCACCACCAGACACAGGCAAUAAUGGGAUCCACCUGCUAGCACACAGUGCUGGAGAAGUAUAAAAUGCUCCACUGUGCCUCCAGAAUGGCUGCAAUUAACAGACACUGAGCAGCCAAGGGCCAG